RNAcentral lists this ribosomal RNA (1277 nucleotides) under Escherichia coli. Its description in RNAcentral is "partial 23S ribosomal RNA". It matches the Rfam family "Bacterial large subunit ribosomal RNA", at positions 954 to 2215 of the family's 2925-position model. The record is from RNAcentral. Lineage: Bacteria; Pseudomonadati; Pseudomonadota; Gammaproteobacteria; Enterobacterales; Enterobacteriaceae.
CUGCGAAUACCGGAGAAUGUUAUCACGGGAGACACACGGCGGGUGCUAACGUCCGUCGUGAAGAGGGAAACAACCCAGACCGCCAGCUAAGGUCCCAAAGUCAUGGUUAAGUGGGAAACGAUGUGGGAAGGCCCAGACAGCCAGGAUGUUGGCUUAGAAGCAGCCAUCAUUUAAAGAAAGCGUAAUAGCUCACUGGUCGAGUCGGCCUGCGCGGAAGAUGUAACGGGGCUAAACCAUGCACCGAAGCUGCGGCAGCGACACUAUGUGUUGUUGGGUAGGGGAGCGUUCUGUAAGCCUGUGAAGGUGUACUGUGAGGUAUGCUGGAGGUAUCAGAAGUGCGAAUGCUGACAUAAGUAACGAUAAAGCGGGUGAAAAGCCCGCUCGCCGGAAGACCAAGGGUUCCUGUCCAACGUUAAUCGGGGCAGGGUGAGUCGACCCCUAAGGCGAGGCCGAAAGGCGUAGUCGAUGGGAAACAGGUUAAUAUUCCUGUACUUGGUGUUACUGCGAAGGGGGGACGGAGAAGGCUAUGUUGGCCGGGCGACGGUUGUCCCGGUUUAAGCGUGUAGGCUGGUUUUCCAGGCAAAUCCGGAAAACUAAGGCUGAGGCGUGAUGACGAGGCACUACGGUGCUGAAGCAACAAAUGCCCUGCUUCCAGGAAAAGCCUCUAAGCAUCAGGUAACAUCAAAUCGUACCCCAAACCGACACAGGUGGUCAGGUAGAGAAUACCAAGGCGCUUGAGAGAACUCGGGUGAAGGAACUAGGCAAAAUGGUGCCGUAACUUCGGGAGAAGGCACGCUGAUAUGUAGGUGAAGUCCCUCGCGGAUGGAGCUGAAAUCAGUCGAAGAUACCAGCUGGCUGCAACUGUUUAUUAAAAACACAGCACUGUGCAAACACGAAAGUGGACGUAUACGGUGUGACGCCUGCCCGGUGCCGGAAGGUUAAUUGAUGGGGUCAGCGCAAGCGAAGCUCUUGAUCGAAGCCCCGGUAAACGGCGGCCGUAACUAUAACGGUCCUAAGGUAGCGAAAUUCCUUGUCGGGUAAGUUCCGACCUGCACGAAUGGCGUAAUGAUGGCCAGGCUGUCUCCACCCGAGACUCAGUGAAAUUGAACUCGCUGUGAAGAUGCAGUGUACCCGCGGCAAGACGGAAAGACCCCGUGAACCUUUACUAUAGCUUGACACUGAACAUUGAGCCUUGAUGUGUAGGAUAGGUGGGAGGCUUUGAAGUGUGGACGCCAGUCUGCAUGGAGCCGACCUUGAAAUACCACCCUUUAAUGUUU